UGCAUGUCUGAGUACAGGCCUUACUAAGGCGAAACCGCGGAUGGCUCAUUAAAUCAGUCCUUAUUUAAUGGAUGUUGAUAAAUCACUACUUGGAUAACUGUGGUAAUUCUAGAGCUAAUACAUGCAACAGAGCUCCGACCCCGCUUUCUUUCUCGAGAGAGACUAGAGAGGCGGGGGAAGGGCGCAGUUAUUAGAUCACAAAAACCGGUCGGACUUCGGUCCGUUCCAAAAACCAAAACUAUGUGAUGACUCUGAAUAACCCAGCCGAGCGCUAAGGUCUUGGUACCGGCGCCGUAUCUUCCAAGUGUCUGCCUUAUCAGCUGUCGAUUGUAGGUUAUUCGCCUACAAUGGCUGUAACGGGUAACGGGGAAUCAGGGUUCGAUUCCGGAGAGGGAGCCUGAGAAACGGCUACCACAUCUAAGGAAGGCAGCAGGCACGCAAAUUACCCAAUCCCGGCUCGGGGAGGUAGUGACGAAAAAUAACGAUGCGGGACUCAUCCGAGGCCUCGCAAUCGGAAUGAGACUACAAUAAAUCCUUGGCCGAGGAUCGAUUGGAGGGCAAGUCUGGUGCCAGCAGCCGCGGUAAUUCCAGCUCCAAUAGCGUAUAUUAAAGUUGCUGCGGUUAAAAAGCUCGUAGUUGAGUUUCAAGUUCGGCCCGGAAAGUCCCAUCCUGGGUUCGUCUUGGACCCCCGUCAUGAAGGGAUCUCGCUACUCGAUUUGAACCGCGCGUCGGAGUGCUUUAUUUAAAGCGCGAAGAUGCCGCUCUCGCACGAUCUCGUUCGCUAUCCGUUGAGCUUGAUGUUGUGUGGCAAAAUUUAUAAAAAUUCUCUCUAAAUAUAUAUACACGCACGAGAGAUUCAAAGGGGGACGGGCGUACACCCUCCCGUUCGCUUUCGCGACAGGGAACGACGUGAUCGUCGUUGCCGGCUCGCCGAACAGACCUCCCCGGUCCGGAACGGCGGCUUCCCGCCGCUCUCCGCAGUUCACCUCCUUCCGUGUGUUUCACACUGGCGCCGAGAAAAAGGGGCCGCGAAAUCAUGAAAAAGUAUAAGAUUCGCGCGUUCACCCUCGACGCUUGGGAGGAGGCAGAAGCGGAUGAAGCGGGUCGCUUCCGUCGCUUCCGGAAACCGCGGCUCGGAGGACACCCCUGUUCGGAAAGAGUUAGCGUGGCGUUCGGGAAGGAGCCCUCCCACCAACCUUCGAAAGUCGUUGCCCUAUAUAUACGAAAGAACGAAAUAAACGAAAAAAAACCUCACACACAAGCGAUACACGGAGACGCGUGCGGAGACGGGCGAGACGCGUCGUUCGGUCUUCGAGGAAAGGCAGUUCCCGGCGGGUUUAAAAAGCGAGCCCGGGUGGUUCUCUGUCCGACGCCGAACUAUCUAAAAACCGUCGGCUUUCGCGGGGGUGCUCUUCACCGAGUGUCUCUCGAGGCCGGCACAUUCACUUUGAAAAAAUUAGAGUGCUCAAAGCGGGCAAAGACUUAAACAAUGCCUGAAUGGUGUCGCAUGGAAUGAUGGAACAGGACCUCGGUUCUGAUAUUUUUUAUCGGUUUUUUCUGAACCAGAGGUAAUGAUUAAAAGGGACUGACGGGGGCAUUAGUAUUGCGGCGCUAGAGGUGAAAUUCUUGGACCGUCGCAAGACUAACUACUGCGAAAGCAUUUGCCAAGAAUGUUUUCAUUAAUCAAGAACGAAAGUUAGAGGAUCGAAGGCGAUCAGAUACCGCCCUAGUUCUAACCCUAAACGAUGCUAACUGGCGAUCCGCUUGAGUCAUACCCACGACUGAGCGGGAAUCCCCCGGGAAACCAAAGUUUUUGAGUUCCGGGGGAAGUAUGGUUGCAAAAUCGAAACUUAAAGGAAUUGACGGAAGGGCACCACCAGGAGUGGAGCCUGCGGCUUAAUUUGACUCAACACGGGGAACCUUACCAGGCCCAGACACUGGAAGGAUUGACAGAUUGAGAGCUCUUUCUUGAUUCAGUGGAUGGUGGUGCAUGGCCGUUCUUAGUUGGUGGAGCGAUCUGUCUGGUUGAUUCCGAUAACGAACGAGACUCUACCCUACUAAAUAGUCGUCGGAUCGACUCCCGAGUCGGGUAAAUCUUCCUUCAGUCUCCGGGUUUAAAAGUCCGAAAAGGCGAGCUCCUUCCUCCGAAAAGCCGUCACGCAUAGCCUCCCCAUUAUGACAAGAAUUCCCGACGCAGCAUCACGAAGUAGUUCGAGUUCGUCAUUCUCGAAGAAUCUCUUCUUCGAGCGUGCGUUCCGUUCCUACGUGCAUGCCAAGCUGGGGAGUGUGUCUGCUUUGGCGUUCCGCUGGCGUGUUCGAGCUCCUAGGAGCGGAUAAAGCCGAUUAAAGACUCCCGUUGACGGGGGGCUGCUCGACGAGGGGCGUCCGUCGCAACUUCUUCUUAGAGGGAUCGGCGGCAUCUAGCCGCACGAGAUGGAGCAAUAACAGGUCUGUGAUGCCCUUAGAUGUUCUGGGCCGCACGCGCGCUACAAUGAAGGGCUCAGCGUGCUAUCCCCCUCCGAAAGGAGCGGGUAACCCCAUGAAACCCCUUCCCGAUUGGGAUUGGGGAUUGCAAGUGUUUCCCAUGAACUAGGAAUUCCUAGUAAGCGUGAGUCAUUGAACCCGCGAUGAUUACGUCCCUGCCCUUUGUACACACCGCCCGUCGCUACUACCGAUUGAGUGAUUCAGUGAGGGCAUCGCGACUGGCGCCCUCGGUAACCUUCGGUGUCCGUUCCCCCUCGGCUGGUCCACAGCGACUCUGGUCGAACGGGGAACUCCCUUAGGCACAUACCCCGGGCUGACGGAAAAAUGUCCGAACUUGAUCACUAGAGAAG
RNAcentral lists this ribosomal RNA (2834 nucleotides) under Cirolana westbyi. RNAcentral's name for it is "Cirolana sp. 1 JB-2019 partial small subunit ribosomal RNA". The stretch from base 1 to 2340 matches the Rfam family "Eukaryotic small subunit ribosomal RNA". Lineage: Eukaryota; Metazoa; Arthropoda; Malacostraca; Isopoda; Cirolanidae. The record is from RNAcentral.